Molecule: ribosomal RNA, 433 nt
Filed under: uncultured bacterium
Lineage: Bacteria
Description: partial 16S ribosomal RNA
Rfam family: Bacterial small subunit ribosomal RNA
Source: RNAcentral
AACGAACGCUGGCGGCAUGCCUAACACAUGCAAGUCGAACGAGACCUUCGGGUCUAGUGGCGCACGGGUGCGUAACGCGUGGGAACCUGCCCUUAGGUUCGGAAUAACUCCCCGAAAGGGGUGCUAAUACCGGAUAAUGUCUUCGGACCAAAGAUUUAUCGCCUUUGGAUGGGCCCGCGUUGGAUUAGCUAGUUGGUAGGGUAAAAGCCUACCAAGGCGACGAUCCAUAGCUGGUCUGAGAGGAUGAUCAGCCACACUGGGGCUGAGACACGGCCCAGACUCCUACGGGAGGCAGCAGUGGGGAAUAUUGGACAAUGGGCGAAAGCCUGAUCCAGCAAUGCCGCGUGAGUGAUGAAGGCCUUAGGGUUGUAAAGCUCUUUUACCCGGGAUGAUAAUGACAGUACCGGGAGAAUAAGCUCCGGCUAACUCCCUG